Gasterosteus aculeatus aculeatus (three-spined stickleback) is the source of this 1983-nucleotide long non-coding RNA. NCBI's taxonomy places the organism in Eukaryota, Metazoa, Chordata, Actinopteri, Perciformes, Gasterosteidae. The record is from Ensembl.
AUGCGAGGGACCAACUUACCGGCUCGACAGCGAUCGGCAGACUGAGGCCGUAAGCUACAGGUUGCCCCGCCCACGUGGGGCGCCCACGUGACACCCACCCGCCUAUCGCUGUAAUGAUCCGUCUAACGUCUCGUUACACAAACAUAAACCAGGGAAGAAAAGUUAAUAAAUGUAUAUUAAUAAUAUUAUUAAUAAUCCGGUGUGUUGGCAACAGUGGUUGACUACAUGCAGCGUUCAUUCAUCCGUCCACGCAGCAAUACUCAUUAGUUGGUCCACUGUUUUAUGCAAUGUAGAUAAUAAUAUAGUUAAUAAUGUGGUUUAAUCAAAGUGGUGUGUGGUCGCAGACUCGUGAUAUUUUGCUCUGAUAUUUGAGCAGAGCAGAGUAAACGUGUUCACAUUCAUCUCUACCACUGGGUGGCAGCAUGCGUCUAUUUACAGUUUUGUUAUCGAUCUGGGUUAUUACAGAUUUAUUUAAUGCUGCUCACGUCAUGUGCUGUUUAGGGUUUAUUUGCAACGUAUACAUUUUGCUAUAUUCAUGUCAGGUAACAGUAAAAAUGUGUUGGUCAUUAAGAAAUGAAUAAUGAGUUUAAGAAUAAAAACGUCUGAUCAAAAUCAUUCUUAUGUAGACCGGCUUAUUCUUGUUGUUCCACACCUGUUAUUAUUAUUAUUUUUUUAAUGCUUUUGAGUAAUUAGUAAUAAAUAUAAUUUGUUAUAUGUAUUGCAAACAAUAUUCAAUAACUCCACUUGUUGUAGGAGCUCAGUCAGCUUUUGUUGAGCCAUGGGGUGACGAGUCACCUGCAUGUUGCUGUUGCUUUCCCAUCGUUGUGUGUGAGACACUUCAUUCCAGGUUUCACAUGCAACAGUUUGUGGUGGAUUCCAACAUCCGGUUUAGCGUUCAAAAACCAUUUGCCCUUCCGCGGUCAAACACCUGACAAACACCGUGCAUCCACAACCUAAAUACCGAGCUAAUUCCUGCUUAGUGGACCGUCACCCAGUGUACACAACGGGGGACACAGUUUAUUAUAAGCACACGCCUGUUAUUAAAGAAUCAGGAGUGCAUUUUUUAAGUGCAUUUGUAUGAGGAUUUAUGUUCUCAUACAAAAUGGAACCCAUGCUGAAUUCAAAAUGGAGGUCAAGUUUUACUUUUUUGAGGAAGUUCCUGCAUUAGAUCAACAAAAUGGGCGGUUAUAAUGAACGUGAUGUCAUCCCUUGUUUGUGGCUCACAGCUUCAGCAUAGACAGCAAACGUGUGCUGUGGCCUGCUGAUGCCUCUAGUCCUCCUUUGGAGAAAUUUACUGUAGCACAACUAUUUUCUAUUCAAUCCGUUUUAGUACAAUUUAUUCAUCUCUGGAGUUUCUUCAAGUCUACCCAAAGAUUUUGGCUUUUGAGUAAUUAUUAAUAAUCAUUUUGGAUAUUUAGUGCAAAUAAUAUUCAAUAAGACCAUUGUUAGCUAUACUUGAGCUUUUGUUACUUAUUCAAAACUGAAGACAGGAAGGAAGGAAAUACAAAUGUAGGGCUUUAAAUCUGCUCUGCUCUAAGCGUGAUGUUUAACAAAUGAAUGCACAGAAAAUGAACUGUCUUGUUAUUUAUUGAAAUAAUAAUACAUGUACACCAGCGACUUUGUGAAUCAUCUUAAAAAAGAACAGGAAUUACAAGUUACAAUAAACAUUAUUUUAGCGUUAUUUUACGGUAAAAUACCACAAAUGGCGUUUGCACUAUGUUACUGUAAAAUGGAUUACUGUAUGUUACCAUAAACUUGAACGAAUUUGACUGUGAAUUAACUGCAAUUUACUGGCAGUUGACACUAGUAAUUUACUGUUUUAUUUACCGUGCCCUACCGUAAUUUACGGUAUGUUGUUGUAUAUUGGAUUACAGUUUGUUACCAUACGAUUACUGUUUUUGUGUUAUAAAUACCAGAAUGUCAAUGUCAAUUUUAUUUAUACAGCACUUUUAAAGGCCAGUGGCCAGCCAAAGUGCUUUACAG